Molecule: microRNA precursor, 71 nt
Filed under: Sus scrofa (pig)
Lineage: Eukaryota; Metazoa; Chordata; Mammalia; Artiodactyla; Suidae
Also listed under: 1 other name
Description: microRNA ssc-mir-9817 precursor
Source: miRBase by way of RNAcentral
CCGUUACGGCCUUUUCCAAAAUGUCGUCGGAACAGAAACACACGGCGUGUGCUGGCAGGGGUGUCGAGGGU